GGGGGUUCCCAAUGGAUUCAAGGAGCUAGCCCCCGCCCCUCGUCCGAGGCCACCUGCUCCGUGCUUGGUUGCGAUGUUCACCCCCGCAGCCAACAAAGCGAAAGCAAGCCCAGAAAGCAGAUCCCGUGAGGGUGACAGCCUGUGCUGGCCUCCAUACAGAGAAUACUCUCCGAGGGGUCCCUGCACCCUCAGUACCUGAGGUUGGCCUUGUCUUCUCCACUUACCUGCCUAACUGGAGAAGCUCAAGUCUGUGAGAAGCUCAAGUCUGUGCAGCCCCACUGCAGGCAGGACCAGACUUCCCUUGAGGAUACGCGUGGGGGCUCUUCGUAUCAAGAUGUAACAAGAUGAAGCUCACUUUCCUCCCACAUGAGGGCUUUUGUGCUUUUGUACCUUGGCACUCUCUAUCCAGAGGACUUGAGGAUCAUCAUGCUCCCUGCCUCUUGAGCAAGGCUCUGAGCAAGGAUGCUGUCCUGUGAAGUAACCAUUAGCCACAUGUAGCUGUAAUACUCUAAAUAAAAUACAAUUUAAAAUCCA
RNAcentral lists this long non-coding RNA (534 nucleotides) under Rattus norvegicus (Norway rat). Its description in RNAcentral is "long non-coding RNA NONRATT002916". The record is from RNAcentral. Lineage: Eukaryota; Metazoa; Chordata; Mammalia; Rodentia; Muridae.